GAAGUGCGACAAGUGUCAUGACUUGCAGAUUCCCGGGAGCUGACAAAUUUCUGAAUGCAAAUGGCGGCCGGUGAAAACGGCCAUGUAUCGCAGAGUGUAGUUGUUCAUACUCAUCAUCCCCUGUGAUCACACGCUUGGUCACAGAGAUCGGGAUCUGCGCUUGCGACUCCCGCGAGCGUUAAACAAGGAGCGUCAGGGGCAUGUAACAGUGCCCUUGACGACUUCGGAUGACCCAAGCUCUAGCGAGCGCGGGCGCUUCCCAAGUUACCAUGCUCUUACCUUUAGGCAGCCACCUCUGCGAUGCAGGAGAACCCGCUGAACUUAA
Molecule: unclassified non-coding RNA, 325 nt
Filed under: uncultured fungus
Lineage: Eukaryota; Fungi
Description: sequence contains ITS1
Rfam family: 5.8S ribosomal RNA (bases 1-100)
Source: RNAcentral